UACGUAGGAGGCGAGCGUUGUCCGGAUUUACUGGGCGUAAAGCGCGCGCAGGCGGCACUUCAAGUAAGGUGUGAAAUCUCCCUGCUCAACGGGGAGGGUGCACUUUAGACUGAGGAGCUAGAGGACGGUAGAGGGGGGUGGAAUUGCCGGUGUAGUGGUGAAAUUCGUAGAUAUCGGGAGGAACACCGGUGGCGAAGGCGGCGACCUGGGUAGAUACUGACGCUGAGGUGCGAAAGCGUGGGGAGCAAACAGG
This 253-nucleotide ribosomal RNA is filed under the name uncultured bacterium. Its description in RNAcentral is "partial 16S ribosomal RNA". It matches the Rfam family "Bacterial small subunit ribosomal RNA", at positions 524 to 776 of the family's 1533-position model. The record is from RNAcentral.